Dalotia coriaria is the source of this 512-nucleotide long non-coding RNA. RefSeq lists it as uncharacterized. The transcript has 2 exons. NCBI's taxonomy places the organism in Eukaryota, Metazoa, Arthropoda, Insecta, Coleoptera, Staphylinidae. The record is from RefSeq and is a predicted model, not a curated record.
CAUCUGAAAACGAAAACAACAAUAAAAUAUUAGUCGUAAAGAUUAUAAAUAUAUCAUAGACAUUGACCUAAUUCAUAAAGUUGCCUAUCUAGAAAAUAUCUUCUCAUAGAAAUAAAACUGCAUUGAAAAUGUUUCAGGUUUCGAAAUACUGAGUUUCGUUCAAAUUACGCAUGCAUCGGAAUAAGUCACCGGCGUGUAAUAAUAGUUGACACGGUAAUUCCGGCGAUGGGUCGUCGCUCGUCCAAAAAUGUGUUUCCGGUUCCGAUUACGCUGUGCAACGAGCGAUUGUCAUUUCCCAUUUGGUAAAAAUUUACUUCGGCACUUCGACAUAACUGUAGCGAUACAGACAUGUUGGAUAAGCAGUAAAAUGAAAAGCUGUGUCUGGUAUCGAGUCAUUUUUCAAUUUUGCUUCGCUUUCAAUUCCAUGAACUAAAAUAAAAACCACCUGAUUAGCAAAACCACAUGUGGUUUUCACAAUUGUAAUUUUAGUUCGAUAAAAUUGAUGUCACUUA